GGGGAUUUGGCUCAGUGGUAGAACGUUUGCUUAGCAAGCACAAGGCCCUGGGUUUGGUUCCCAGCUCCA
RNAcentral lists this transfer RNA (69 nucleotides) under Rattus norvegicus (Norway rat). It matches the Rfam family "tRNA". Rfam says of the family: Transfer RNA (tRNA) molecules are approximately 80 nucleotides in length. The record is from Rfam by way of RNAcentral. Lineage: Eukaryota; Metazoa; Chordata; Mammalia; Rodentia; Muridae.